RNAcentral lists this ribosomal RNA (456 nucleotides) under uncultured bacterium. RNAcentral's name for it is "bacterial SSU rRNA". It matches the Rfam family "Bacterial small subunit ribosomal RNA", at positions 29 to 531 of the family's 1533-position model. The record is from RNAcentral.
AACGAACGCUGGCGGCAGGCCUAACACAUGCAAGUCGAGCGCCCCGCAAGGGGAGCGGCGGACGGGUGAGUAACGCGUGGGAACGUACCCUUUGCUACGGAAUAGCCUCGGGAAACUGGGAGUAAUACCGUAUGUGCCCUUCGGGGGAAAGAUUUAUCGGCAAAGGAUCGGCCCGCGUUGGAUUAGGUAGUUGGUGGGGUAAUGGCCUACCAAGCCGACGAUCCAUAGCUGGUUUGAGAGGAUGAUCAGCCACACUGGGACUGAGACGCGGCCCAGACUCCUACGGGAGGCAGCAGUGGGGAAUCUUAGACAAUGGGCGCAAGCCUGAUCUAGCCAUGCCGCGUGAGCGAUGAAGGCCUUAGGGUUGUAAAGCUCUUUCAGUGGGGAAGAUAAUGACUGUACCCACAGAAGAAGCCCCGGCUAACUCCGUGCCAGCAGCCGCGGAAUGUACAGUGU